GAUGAAGAACGCAGCGAAAUGCGAUACGUAAUGUGAAUUGUAGAAUUCAGUGAAUCAUCGAGUAUUUGAACGCACAUUGCGCCCCCUGGUAUUCCGGGGGGCAUGCCUGUCCGAGCGUCAUUGCUGCCCUCAAGCCCGGCUUGUGUGUUGGGUCUCGUCCCCCUUCCCGGGGGGACGGGCCCGAAAGGCAGCGGCGGCACCGCGUCCGGUCCUCGAGCGUAUGGGGCUUUGUCACCCGCUCUGUAGGCCCGGCCGGCGCUUGCCGAUCAACCAAAACUUUUUUCCAGGUUGACCUCGGAUCAGGUAGGGAUACCCGCUGAACUUAAGCAUAUCAAUAAGCGGAGGA
RNAcentral lists this unclassified non-coding RNA (346 nucleotides) under soil metagenome. RNAcentral's name for it is "partial contains 5.8S ribosomal RNA, internal transcribed spacer 2, and large subunit ribosomal RNA". The stretch from base 1 to 120 matches the Rfam family "5.8S ribosomal RNA", at positions 35 to 154 of the family's 154-position model. The record is from RNAcentral.